CACACAACCACAAGAACAAGGAGGAAUCAACCGACUCCUCUAGGUGGAACAGAGAAAGAAUAGGAACCUGCCAGUGCAGAGAAAGUGCUCUGGGUUUAAUAAUGCCCUCCAGAUAUUCCCCUCAUUCUUCCAAUCUUCACAGAAGGUUCUGAAAGCGAAGCUUUAGAUCGAUCAUACUGGAGCCCAGCUGCGGUCCAUCGCAGUGGUGUGGAUUGACCAAGAAGGAAGACAAAGCUGUCUUUGUAAGCAGUGACUGUAGAGCUAUUCUCAUGCAAUCCCUGCAUUGUCGUACUUUCUGUUCUAGGCUAUAUCUUUUGUCCCCGGUUCAUACGAUUGACCUACUCUGAAUUUCACCUCUUCAAGCUGUGAUGAUGUCCUGUUCUUGUGCAGAUUCAUCAGAAGAAAGCCCAGGUGACAGACGUUGAUAAGACAAAACAUCCUUUGGUUAUUCUUCACUCAAAAAUGAUUUUUUUAUUAUUCACUCAAAUAUGAAAUUUGAUGUAAAAUCUGAAGUACAGCCAUUUUGGCAAUGCUGAAACCACUGAAUAACUGAAUUUAUUCAAUAGCUUUUUCAAGUGCUCCUCUCUCUGUCUGGGAAUAAGUUAACUGUUGGAGCAACAAGAGGCACAUUUAAAUUUAUUUAUAAAUUUAAAGAAAAUACCUUGUCUGAAAAAGCUCUUGAUUAUCUUAAAACAUUAAUUAAGCCUUUAUUAUAAGAUACCGUACUUCAAAUGUUUCGGGAGAAAUUAUAUUGCAGUUCAACAAAACCUGCUUUUUCUUACAAGCAGAGAAAGCAUUGUUUGAGUGAUCCUCUUAGAUCAUCCCUAUAUCUGGAUAUGCAGAAUAUUCACAGUCCUUUUGCUGUUUCCACUGGAUUCAGAAACUGCUCCAAAUGUGAAAUAUACUGACAUUAGAUGUGUUAUCUUCUUUACUGUGUCCAUACGGAAGCCAAAUUAUGUACUUUUAUUACAUGUUAAUAAUCUGUUUUUGUAUUAAUAUGAUACCCCAUGUUGACAUUUGCAUGUCUGAAAUUCUGAUCAUUUUGUGGUGUUUGAAAUAAUAUUGUAGAAAAUGAGUCUUCUGUAUGGGAAAACAUGCAAUCCUUGGUUGACAGUCAAAUAAAAGCAAGACUACAUAUGA
Long non-coding RNA from Anguilla anguilla (European eel), 1140 nucleotides. RefSeq lists it as uncharacterized. The record is from RefSeq and is a predicted model, not a curated record. The transcript is spliced from 2 exons. NCBI's taxonomy places the organism in Eukaryota, Metazoa, Chordata, Actinopteri, Anguilliformes, Anguillidae.